AGAUAAUAUUUUUCGUUUUUACACAUAUAACAGUGUGCGUUUAGACACAAAUAACAUAUUUCUGUAGAAAUCUGAAAAUUUCAAAAUAUUGGACAUGUUCCCUAACUAAAGCGGUACUAAAACCUCCAGAAAACUGUCAGGUAUAACAGUAAAAAAUUUGGCGACGAUACGUUGAACGGUGUGGAUUUACACGCGUGGCAAAAAAUCUGGACUUUCUUUUAUAUAUAAACGUACGACGGGACUGACAGUCACAAAGAGCCAUCGCGAUUCCGAAUACACAGGGCUGUUACUUGCAAUCGGGGGCGUGUGUACAGAGAGUGGAGACGGGGGACGUCGUAGAGCGGUCACCAUAUAGCACAGCGAGACGUUCGAGGUUAGUGACGACGAGGACGACGCCGAGCGCUUUUGAGGUACGUGUUACCUCCUCCUCAUCAUCGUUACUAUAGAUGUGGACGAUCGCGGCCGUCAAUGACGAGCGUUAACGUGACGACCACCAAACAUGCGUUUCUGUAUAGAACCGUAACAUCACGAACGCCGAACACAUCAAAGUAGCGUAGUGGUGAUAUACAACGGAAUAUGGCGACACCACAUCUAUCGUCGACACUGAUCACGCAUUUAUAGCAUCCUCUCGUAGCCCGACGAUCAUCUCAUGUCUGUACAUUUUGUCGGAACAAUAAUGAAAUUACUAUAAUUACUAUUUCGUGUAUUUUUAAUUGUAUUGUAUAUGGUUUAAUGUGAGGUUUUAAAAAUUCAAAAAAUUUUACAUUGUUGUUCUUUUAAAAAUAAUCUUUACAAUAAAAUAGCCACAUAUCAAAAUAUUAUACAUUUUUAGAUCGAUGUUUUAUAAACUUAUAUCAUUUAUAUCAUUAUAACUCAACAACGAUUUAAUAAGAUAAGUAUUCAUUACUAAUAUUAAAAUUUAUUUUAUUAUACUGCAAAAUAACCGA
This is a long non-coding RNA of Aphis gossypii (cotton aphid), 947 nucleotides long. RefSeq lists it as uncharacterized. The transcript is spliced from 3 exons. Lineage: Eukaryota; Metazoa; Arthropoda; Insecta; Hemiptera; Aphididae. The record is from RefSeq and is a predicted model, not a curated record.